CUUCGUUACCGAUACCCUACUUUUUUAUUUUUCCUAAUUUGUCACAAUGACGUAAGGUGGCAGAAUAGGGGGAAAUUGCAGUUGGAAGGGAAAUGACUUUGCGAAUUCAUCGGUCCAACAGUUCAGCAUCGGUUCAGGUACGGUUCAGGCAAGACGGAAACAUUCCGCACUCCCUACACUGCGUCAUCAUCAAUCAUCAGUCACAACUGCGCAGCAUAUUGUUCAUUAUUCAAGGAGAAAAUGGAUUGUUAAUUCGCACAUUUGCAUGCUGCCUCUUCUCACACCUGAUAUACGAAAAUGAUGAUUCUUUAAGGACGCCGUGAGUAUAGGAGGAGUCUUUUAUUUUUUUCAAUUAUUACGCUAUACACGAAAGAAAACAAAUGAAAAAAAAAAAAAACUUUUAAAUCCAUUUCCGGCGUGCAUUCAAGCAUACGAUUGUAUUCGUGCUUGCUGGAACACGCUUUGCGUAUACAAAGUGUUGCCGUCUUCUUUGCUGACGAAAAGGGUACGGAAUGGAUCAAAACAACCUGAGACAAGCUGUUACUCCCCUCCGGCCGGAGUUAAACCGGUGAAGUUCGCAAUUCUUUUCUACUUUCGCACAGAGGCUCGACAGAGAGCACUUAUUCAACGGUAUUCACGCCCAGUCUAUUAAAAUGGAUCGUCAACCAUUUCCUCUCGCCGAAUGUCGGUAGCUUCCCAUUCUUUCUUUGCCUCUUUGCCCGCAGUUUUGAGAGAAAAAAAAUUUUUGCCUCUUUUGAUAGCAGAUGGACUCAUCUCGACAUAGUUGCUGUUGGGUCAACGUUUCAAUCCAGCAGCUUAUCCGCCACUCAUCUCCGAUUACAAGAUAAAAAAGAAAAAUGUCUCCCGUCUACAGGAUCGAGGGAAACGAGGAUGUAUGGUCUUCGUGAUCUCAUCGUACAGUUGCCUGGAAUUGGAUCGAAUUUCCUUAAUAGAUAAUAACUAUCAAUGAUGGAAAAAAGAAAUCAUAAGAAAGGAUAACAAAAAGGCCAAUGGGGUCUUUCAUCCUCUGCUGUAUAGGAUUUCUCGAAUUCUCAAUGACCAUGUCCGUACAUUUUUAUACGUUCGCGGAUCCACCCUUGUAGUGACAACAUUUUACAGUGCGGAGUAACACAAAACAAAACAAAAAAAUGGAGAAGUGAAUUACCGGAUGUAUUUUAUAUGUACGGAACAUUAUGGUGCCAUGCGGAAUGAUGGCCUCGUAUAUUUUUAUGACGAAUUUCGAAUGGUCACAUUUUGUCGCAUACAACAACGCGAUGCAAAUUCCGUCCGUCCCCCCAAAUCUAUUUGCUUUCCGCUUCAAGUGUGUGACGUAAAAAUAAACCGUGUCUCACUUGUCUGUUGUCAUACAAUAAUAGUUGGAAAGUACGACGGAAGUGCGCAGAAACUAGCGAACCGCAGCGUCAGCUGAUCAGCAGAGCAACACAACUUUCAACUUUUCGCUUCUGUCUUUUUCUACGUGUGACUGAUGAAUCGUCUCAAA
This 1501-nucleotide long non-coding RNA is filed under the name Daphnia magna. RNAcentral's name for it is "uncharacterized LOC116916501, transcript variant X1". Lineage: Eukaryota; Metazoa; Arthropoda; Branchiopoda; Diplostraca; Daphniidae. The record is from RNAcentral.